This 253-nucleotide ribosomal RNA is filed under the name uncultured bacterium. RNAcentral's name for it is "partial 16S ribosomal RNA". It matches the Rfam family "Bacterial small subunit ribosomal RNA", at positions 524 to 776 of the family's 1533-position model. The record is from RNAcentral.
UACGGGGGGGGCAAGCGUUGUUCGGAAUUACUGGGCGUAAAGGGCUCGUAGGCGGCCAACUAAGUCAGACGUGAAAUCCCUCGGCUUAACCGGGGAACUGCGUCUGAUACUGGAUGGCUUGAGUUCGGGAGAGGGAUGCGGAAUUCCAGGUGUAGCGGUGAAAUGCGUAGAUAUCGAGAGGAACACCUGCGGCGAAGGCGGGUUGCUGGGCUGAUACUGACGCUGAUGCGCGAAAGCCAGGGGAGCGAACGGG